UUCAGAGCUGGUCGUUUUCUUAAUGGACUCUGUCAGGCCGGCGCCGGAGCAGUACAGAAAAAAAUCUCAGAACAGUCUCCCCCGCACCCUUCACGCCUGCAAGAGAUGUACAAUAACAGGAAGCCAAAACACGGGUUCGAAAAAAACAUAUAUCCAGCGACAUCUGCAAGCCCGGAUGCCCAGCAAGUACAAGAGACAUUCUGCACCCCGAAAGACCGCCCCUUUCUGAAAGGGUCGCUGAAAGGAGGAACACGAAUGUUCAAGCAGCAAACCUUUAUUGGAGCAGUCUGCCGUGUUGACUCACAAAAUGGAGACCAGCAGCCGCCUGGGCUGAGCUGGAGGCUAAAAUAGGGUUUUGCAGAUAACAAAACCGCAGCCCUCAGCAGAAGGGUACUCCUCCAGUGGCUGAAAAGCCAGAUGUAAGCCGAGCUGUCUCCCGGGGGAUGGAACACAGAAUAGGACGUUACUGGAAGAGGUACGACCCCGAAGUGCAGCCCAGUGCAGCACAGCACCUCCCAGAUGCCACGUUGCCUGAGAGCAUCCAUGCAUCUGCCUCAACCGCUGUGUGAACUCUGACCGCAAAUGUUUGCUCCAGCCCCUGUAGGUGACAGACCCCUUUCCAAUCCCCUGUAAAGCUUCCUGCCUUUUCUUUGUUCAGGACUUUGUUCAGCACUAAGGGAGUUAGGGCUUUGUUACCCAGGUGAAUAAAGUCUGUGCCUAGUUGCCUUUCA
Heterocephalus glaber (naked mole-rat) is the source of this 731-nucleotide long non-coding RNA. RefSeq lists it as uncharacterized. NCBI's taxonomy places the organism in Eukaryota, Metazoa, Chordata, Mammalia, Rodentia, Bathyergidae. The record is from RefSeq and is a predicted model, not a curated record.